GGUGUCCGCAGGCUUCUGCCUGGCCGUCGCCGCCUAUAAGCUACCAGGAGGAGCUUUACGACUUCCCGGCCUGCGGGAAGUGGCGGGCACGAUCGCAAGGUAGCGCAGAAGCUUCUCAAUGGCCAGCGCCAGCUGCAGCCCCUGCGGCGCACUCGCCUCACCUGAGCCUGGGAGGAAAAUUCUUCCAAGGAUGAUCUCCCACUCAGAGCUGAGGAAGCUUUUCUACUCAGCAGAUGCUGUGUGUUUUGAUGUUGACAGCACGGUCAUCAGUGAAGAAGGAAUCGGAUGCUUUCAUUGGAUUUGGAGGAAAUGUGAUCAGGCAACAAGUCAAGGAUAACGCCAAAUGGUAUAUCACUGAUUUUGUAGAGCUGCUGGGAGAACCGAAAGAAUAACAUCCAUUGUCAUACGGCUCCAAACAACUUCAGAUGAAUUUUUACAAGUUACACAGAUUGAUACUGUUUGCUUACAAUUGCCUAUUACAACUUGAUAUAGAAAGUUGGUACAGAUGAUCUGCACUGUCAAGUAAACUACAGUUAGGACUCCUCAAAGAUUGGUUUGUUUGUUUGUUUUUAACUGUAGUUCCAGUAUUAUAUGAUGACUAUUGAUUUCCUAGAGAGUUUUGUAAUCUGAAUUCUUUAUGUAUAUUCCUAGCUAUAUUUCAUACAAAGUGUUUUAAGAGUGGAGAGUCAAUUAAACACCUUUACUCUUAGGAAUAUAGAUUCGGCAGCCUUCAAUGAAUAUUGGUUUUUUUCCCUUUGGUAUGUCAAUAAAAGUUUAUCCAUGUGUCAGAACAGAUUUGUGGAAUUUGCAGUUCUGCCUCUCGGAUAUUGGAAUAUCCAAUAUUUCAGGAUGCUUGCUCUUUGAACUCAGCCACCAUGCUGUGAGGAAGCCCAGAUCACAAGGAGAGGCCACAUUUUGAUGUUCCAGUCAACAGUCCCAGCACAGGUUUCAGAUGACAGCCAACAUCAGUUGCCGGACAUGAGACUGAAGAAGGCUUUGUGAAGACUCCAGCCCCAGCCACUGCAACAGCAUGAGAGACCCCAAGUGAAAAUCACCUGCCUGAAC
RNAcentral lists this long non-coding RNA (1065 nucleotides) under Pan troglodytes (chimpanzee). RNAcentral describes it as "long non-coding RNA NONPTRT015629". The record is from RNAcentral. Lineage: Eukaryota; Metazoa; Chordata; Mammalia; Primates; Hominidae.